CCCUUGUGGAGGAGGACGCCGAAGGUGGGGCUAAUGACUGGGGUGAAGUCGUAACAAGGUAGCCGUACCGGAAGGUGCGGCUGGAUCACCUCCUAACAGGGAGACAACAAAAUGUUAAAUAUUAAUUUUGUCACCUUAGGUCGAUCGGUAUCUCACAUCCUUAAAUUUAUUAAGGAUUUUAUUUCCUAAGUUUUUUCUAGGUCACACCCAUUUUUUCCCUGGGCCAUUAGCUCAGGUGGUUAGAGCGCACCCCUGAUAAGGGUGAGGUCCCUGGUUCAAGUCCAGGAUGGCCCAUAUCUCUAUGUUGGGGGUAUAGCUCAGUUGGUAGAGCGCCUGCUUUGCAAGCAGGAUGUCAGCGGUUCGAGUCCGCUUACCUCCACUGAUUACCACCUCUUCCAUAAUUUAUUGAAGGGAAAUGUUUUUGGUGUGAUCGAAUUCUGAACGAAUCUAGCUUCCUAAUCAAAUUUAUUAAGAUGCUGGACUCAUUGAAUUAACUUCAUUGUUUUCAGAGAACCUUGACAACUGCAUAGAUUAUUUUAAAGACAAUAAGCAUCUUUAAUGAUGCAGAUUUAUUAUUUGUGCGAAUGCAUUAAUAACAAUUCUAUUGAGCUGAUGCUUCAAAUUUUUGAAGUUAUUGGUCAAGCUACAAAGGGCUCACGGAGGAUACCUAGGCACACAGAGGCGA
This 685-nucleotide unclassified non-coding RNA is filed under the name uncultured Prochlorococcus sp. RNAcentral describes it as "partial may contain 16S ribosomal RNA, 16S-23S ribosomal RNA intergenic spacer, and 23S ribosomal RNA". The stretch from base 1 to 96 matches the Rfam family "Bacterial small subunit ribosomal RNA", at positions 1438 to 1533 of the family's 1533-position model. The record is from RNAcentral. Lineage: Bacteria; Bacillati; Cyanobacteriota; Cyanophyceae; Synechococcales; Prochlorococcaceae.